CAGUCUACACAGUACAUUCAUUCUUCAGCUUGCUGUGUUGUUUGUAGCAUACAAACUAAACAAGUCAUUAAAAUUUAAAUCAGCUUAAAAAGAAUAACUGGUUUGAGACCACCAUUCCAUCAUCCCUGCCCCCCCCCCUCCUCCAUCCACAAGAUUCUGUAAUGAAGUAAACAAAUAAACUCCUGACGAAUUGAAUUAGCUCAUUGUAAAGGGAUCGUGUACGGUUUAAAAAUGGGAGAUUUGUACGGUCCCCUGGAGACAAGAAGCUGGGAGCGGGGGAAGAGGGACGACUACACCCUGCAAGGACUGGACAGGGACUGGCUCCUUGUCACUAAGAAUUAUCUUCGUGGCCGAGAGGAGCAUGAUGGGGUUCAAGCCCUGGGUGUAGAUGUAUUAGAUGCUAGGGGGACAUUUGA
Eurytemora carolleeae is the source of this 416-nucleotide long non-coding RNA. RefSeq lists it as uncharacterized. The transcript is spliced from 5 exons. The record is from RefSeq and is a predicted model, not a curated record. NCBI's taxonomy places the organism in Eukaryota, Metazoa, Arthropoda, Copepoda, Calanoida, Temoridae.